Molecule: long non-coding RNA, 444 nt
Organism: Ochotona princeps (American pika)
Lineage: Eukaryota; Metazoa; Chordata; Mammalia; Lagomorpha; Ochotonidae
Exons: 4
Source: RefSeq, a predicted model, not a curated record
UAGGCACUGUAGACCACAAGCAAAUCGGAAAAUAGACUCCAGUGCUAAGGAUCAUAUUCUAGAAAGAAAACCAGAAUCUGAGGAGCCAUCAUACCAACCUGUAUAGCACAGAAUUGUCUACCUAUGGAUGUUGACAUUGGGGACAGUGCUGUCUCAGUCAUACAUGGACAUGAGGGGCAGGCAAGGGUAAGACUGGCUGGAAGGAAGGACCAGUGCUUGCCUGGAGACAUUUGUGUUUCAGCAUCCCCUUCAACACAAGGCUCACCAUAGAAGCUGUGCUGUCUGAAGAAAGGAUUCAUUUUAUCUCAUAAAUGAAAAGGUGGAUCAGAUUUAUGGAGAGAAGGAGAGACAGAAAUAUCUUCUAUCCACUGGUUCACUGCCCAAAUGACCACAACGGCUGGAGCUGAGCCCAUGCAAAGCCAGGAUUCAGAGGCGUCUUCUCAG